GAGUGAAGAGGGAAGAGCUCAUCAUUGGAAUCUGGCAGUGUUUCACUGUCCGAGUUGUAGAUGAGGAGUAGUCCGUCUGGACUGCAUGGCGUCCAAGUACAAUAGGCCGUCAGUGGGACAUCAUAGAGGGUGACAAUCCCGUCCUUGACGCCAAUGUGCAAGUCUAUUACGAUGGCUAUCUCAGAGAGUCGAGCAGUUUGGGAUUUGCUGCUUAAACAUGGGAGGUAGAUUCCUUCUAAAGCUAAAUACAGGCGAGAGACCGAUAGAGAACAAGUACCGCAAGGGAAAGAUGAAAUAGCACUCUGUGAAGGGAGUCAAAAGGCGUGAAAUUGUUGCGAGAGAAGCGAUUCAAGUCAGCGUAGCUAGGCCCAUCAAGCGUCUUCGCUUUGGACUAGCUUUGCCAGCGGUCUUGUCCCUUAAAGAGACUUGACUUGUAAUAUGUCCAGCCUGGCGUGCACAGGCAGCCCCUUCUGGGGGCCAGUGACAUGGCUGGUGGAAUGGCUUGCAAUCGACCCGUCUUGAAACACGGACCAAGGAGUCUAACAUGUAUGCGAGUAUAAGGGUGGCAAACCCGUAUGCGCAAUGAAAGUGAUUUUCGGUGAUUGAGAAUGGCCUGAUGACCAGACAAGCAAUAUAUGUCCCUCGUACGGCCAUUGCCCAAGUUCCGUGGUAGAUCCCACGAACAUGGAGUUGGAGCAUACAUG
RNAcentral lists this ribosomal RNA (704 nucleotides) under Cantharellus cibarius (golden chanterelle). RNAcentral's name for it is "eukaryotic LSU rRNA". It matches the Rfam family "Eukaryotic large subunit ribosomal RNA", at positions 91 to 808 of the family's 3401-position model. The record is from RNAcentral. Lineage: Eukaryota; Fungi; Basidiomycota; Agaricomycetes; Cantharellales; Hydnaceae.